Molecule: long non-coding RNA, 372 nt
Organism: Gasterosteus aculeatus aculeatus (three-spined stickleback)
Lineage: Eukaryota; Metazoa; Chordata; Actinopteri; Perciformes; Gasterosteidae
Source: Ensembl
GUCAACAGGAAGUGGUUCCUGCACAGCCGAACAGCAGCAGCUCCCCCUCUCUAUCACGGUGGCCCUGAACUCUGAGGACAGGAAGCGGCAGCUGGAACGUCUGCGUGGCUCCUCCGUGCUACUCGUAUGUGAACGUCCCCAGCAGGGUGUCCUCCUCCACGUCGUCCUUCAGGCCCUGCAGGAGGAGAAGGAGCAAGAAACACCAACAUGAGAAAUGAUGAGCUGAAGCAUCUGUUGAAUCAGCUUCUGAUUCAUCUGGAUCUUCUGAGUCAAGUUCUUCAUCCUCUACCAACCCCUCCUCAGACUCUUCUUCCUCUCCAAGCUCCUCAAGCUCGGAGAAUGGAAAGAAGAAGAUGAAGAAGUCAAAGAAGA